CGACGCUGUUGCGCCGGCGCCUGGCGUCGUGUGCCGUCGGCGGCACCGGGCGCUGCGGCGGGAGCGGUCGAUCCACGGGCAGCGGCGCCCUGAAUUCGCCCCUGUCCUUGUGCUGCGGCUGCGCGUCUGGCCUCUCCAUCGUGUCGCCGUGCGCGGCGUGCUUUGCGUCGACUCCUUUUUUCCCCCCUGCCCUCUUGUUUCUUUUCUGCGCUGGUCACCGGGGUCGGCGCGUCCGCGGCUCUCGUCGGUGGUCGCCCUUUUUCACUAGCGGCUCUUUUUUUUUUGUUCGACCUCGGCGUCCUCCUUGCGCGUCUCGCUGUCGUCGCCUCUGCCGGUGGCGCGUGUGUGCGUGUGCCUGGGGCGCCUUUUUGUUCCUUUGCC
Molecule: long non-coding RNA, 381 nt
Filed under: Pandoravirus salinus
Description: putative ncRNA
Source: RNAcentral